Molecule: ribosomal RNA, 468 nt
Filed under: uncultured bacterium
Lineage: Bacteria
Description: partial 16S ribosomal RNA
Rfam family: Bacterial small subunit ribosomal RNA
Source: RNAcentral
GACGAACGCUGGCGGCGUGCUUAACACAUGCAAGUCGAACGGAAAGGCCCUGCUUUUGUGGGGUGCUCGAGUGGCGAACGGGUGAGUAACACGUGAGUAACCUGCCCUUGACUUUGGGAUAACUUCAGGAAACUGGGGCUCAUAUCGGAUAGGAGCUCCUGCUGCAUGGUGGGGGUUGGAAAGUUUCGGCGGUUGGGGAUGGACUGGCGGCUUAUCCGCUUGUUGGUGGGGUAGUGGCGUACCAAGGGUUUGACGGGUAGCCGGCCUGAGAGGGUGGCCGGCGACAAUGGGCCUGCGAGACGGACCAGACUCCUACCGGAGGCAGCAGUGGAGAGUAUGACGCAAUGGGCGGAAGCCUGAUGCAGCAACGCCGCGUGCGGGAUGAUGGCCUUCGGGUUGUGAACAGCUUUCGCAUGUGACGAAGCGGGAGUGACGGUAAUUGGUAAAGAAGCACCGGCUAACUACGUG